This 708-nucleotide long non-coding RNA is filed under the name Monodelphis domestica (gray short-tailed opossum). RNAcentral describes it as "lncRNA (ENSMODG00000032351.2)". Lineage: Eukaryota; Metazoa; Chordata; Mammalia; Didelphimorphia; Didelphidae. The record is from RNAcentral.
GAAAGUCAGUUGGAGCCUGGCCAAGAGAUGAACUGAGAGACUUCCUUGACUUCUGACCAAGGGGGAGACUUCCCUGGUUUCUAACCAAGGGAGUGACUGGCUUUUUUCUGACCUAGGAUGAGACUUUGGUGUGGCUGAUGUUCAUGAUUGAUUGCUAUAUACUGGGCUGGUCUAUUAGCUAUCAGUAGUGAUCAAUAGGCACCCACUGAUACUAUCCCUGGUAGUAGUAUCUCCAUUACAACUAGGCACCCUCAGGUUUCCCCUAGUACCUCUCUAGUCAAGCCAGAGUAUCUCAGUUAUUUCAACCAGAAAUAUCUCCAAGAUUAUCUAUUCUAAUACAUCAAGAAUUCUCUUUCCUUCUGAAAAGAAGGCAAUAUUCAAAAAUCCUUUACACACCUCUGUUUUCUGCCACCUCUACUUCAGAAACAUCCCUGACAACACAGCAGGAAUGCCGACUUCAGAAUGGAAAAAAAGUGUUCAAUAGAAUGGCCCCAUUUGAAAGAAACAAAAGAGAAAGAACCAAUGAAGCAAAGAACUACAAAAACUUCUGUCUUCUUUAGUUUAUGACCAUCCUAAAAAUCUGAUGGAUAGCCUUUUAAAAUAUAACAUUGCCCAAAGAGAUUAUAGGUCUUAGAGAAAAAAAAAACUUAGAAAAAUUAGAAUUAAUAGACAUAUGGAGAAAAAUAAAUAGGGAUAAAAAGGAAUACA